Triticum aestivum (bread wheat) is the source of this 893-nucleotide long non-coding RNA. RefSeq lists it as uncharacterized. The transcript is spliced from 7 exons. The record is from RefSeq and is a predicted model, not a curated record. Lineage: Eukaryota; Viridiplantae; Streptophyta; Magnoliopsida; Poales; Poaceae.
UAUCUCUCCGCCCUCAAACGCCCAGCACGCCCCCUGUUCGGCGGCUACGUCGCCGCCCUCGAACGCCCAGCGCGCCGCCGCCUGUAGCCCCUCCCAGCACCCGCGCCCCCACCCACCUCAACCCCCGGAUCGAUCUACCGCUUCUCAACCUACCUCGGCGCCAAUUGGAUUGCUGCGGCGACGGCCUCGUCGAUCCUCAGCUUCGGCACCUACAUCCUGAAGGGGUACGAUCUCGUGUUUGAGGAGACGUCCACAACUUGUACUGCUUGGUUUUCCUGUCCAAGACUCAAAUCUUCUCCUAGGAAGUACGCAAGCACGGGAGAACAAGCUUGUCAAUUUUUUUGGAACAUGCCAAAGGGGCAAAGAAUAGUUGUAAAAUGCAAUGAAGAAAGCUAGCCUUUUGGACCAAGCUUGCCAAUUGUUUGGAACAUGCCAAAGGGAAUAAUGGAAUAGAAGAGGAUGGCGAGCAUGAUGAUGUCGGUCAGUUACAAAUUCAACAAAAAAUCAUCGUCACCACAAGACCUUGUUAUUGAUUAUGUACAAAAGGCAAGGGAAAUGAGGGAUUGCGCAGUUGAAUAUUUUUCAAGACUAGACAAGCAGGGGACUAGAAUUGAACGCCCACAUCCAGUUCGCUAAAAAAAGGCGUACUUCUUCAAUCAAGGACAAUUGGUGAAGCUUUCUCUUCAGGAUACUUAAUUGCUUGGCCUUCAACUUUUAUUUGAAACAAGGAUAAUUGACUUGCAGCUGAAUACUUCGGUUCGAACAGGAAGCAAAUAAAAUUUGAAGAUUUUACUUCCCAAUAGUUGUAGUUUACACUGAUAGAUUGAAAAAUGUAAUAUUAUUCAAAAGAUCUUUUUCUUUGGUCGAAUUUAUGCAAAUGCUAUGGUGUAAUA